Phrynosoma platyrhinos (Desert horned lizard) is the source of this 72-nucleotide non-coding RNA. The record is from the annotation of a GenBank genome assembly. Lineage: Eukaryota; Metazoa; Chordata; Lepidosauria; Squamata; Phrynosomatidae.
GCCAGCAUGGCAUAGUGGUUUGAGUGUUGGACUACAACUCUGGAGACCAGGGUUCGAUUCCCCACCUUGGCC